AAAUUACAACUCCACAGUUCUCAAUAAAACUAAUACUUUUAGGCCACAGAUGAUCUCCCACAAAUAUUGGUAAUAUUCUGACUGGAAAUUAAAGCUGUUCACGUGCGUUGAACGUGUUUCCGACGUUACCUGAAGGCAACAUCCACUGCAGGUGGAACUGAGUAGCUGACGUCACCGGCAGUAUAAAGAUCACCGCUGCGUCUCUGCACGCAAGUCGCUCAUCCAAUCCGUCCGUCCAGCUGCGCGUCCUCCCCGCCAAUAUGAGCAAGAUGUUUGUCGCGUGCCUCCUGCUGGCUCUCCAGCUCUUCUCAUCGCAGAUGGUGCAGGCACUUAACUCCACAGUGAGCCCCGCGGUAUCUACUCCCAGCGGCGCGAGCGCUGCGGCGGCAAGCGGCGCCUCCGCGCUGCUGCUGCUGCUGGCGGCCGCGGCCCCUCUGCUCCAGCGGUGGUCCUGAUGGACGGACGGACGGACGGACGGAGCACUCCUCGUUACCCUCCGGCUGCCUGAAUUUUCACAACAUGAACCUUUUUUUUUUUUUUUCCUUUUUCCAAGGAGCGCGCACUUGUUCUCGGUUUACGCCGCGGGACGCGCCCUGGCGCUUCCGCGGGUCGUACCCCGCCGGUCUGUGUUCAGUCCGAUGUAUUUGGGCUUGUGUGAUGAUCGUGGCACAAUACCCUUGUUCAUAAACCAAAUCUCAAGCUGAGGAAAGCUACAAUUCUUGUGUAAUCUGAUUUUCUAUUUUUUUUUUCUUUUUAAGAUCUCUGUUUGUAACCAAUAAAAUCUUUCAAUUAUAA
Gasterosteus aculeatus aculeatus (three-spined stickleback) is the source of this 795-nucleotide long non-coding RNA. RefSeq lists it as uncharacterized. NCBI's taxonomy places the organism in Eukaryota, Metazoa, Chordata, Actinopteri, Perciformes, Gasterosteidae. The record is from RefSeq and is a predicted model, not a curated record.